This 274-nucleotide ribosomal RNA is filed under the name uncultured bacterium. RNAcentral describes it as "partial 16S ribosomal RNA". It matches the Rfam family "Bacterial small subunit ribosomal RNA", at positions 523 to 796 of the family's 1533-position model. The record is from RNAcentral.
AUACGGAGGGAGCGAGCGUUAAUCGGAAUUACUGGGCGUAAAGCGCGCGUAGGCGGCUUUGUAAGUCGGAUGUGAAAGCCCUGGGCUCAACCUGGGAAUUGCAUUCGAUACUGCAGAGCUAGAGUAUGGUAGAGGGAAGUGGAAUUUCCGGUGUAGCGGUGAAAUGCGUAGAUAUCGGAAGGAACACCAGUGGCGAAGGCGACUUCCUGGGCCAAUACUGACGCUGAGGUGCGAAAGCGUGGGGAGCAAACAGGAUUAGAUACCCCAGUAGUCC